GCGGGUAUAGUUUAGUGGUAAAACUCUAGCCUUCCAAGCUACUGAUGCGGGUUCGAUUCCCGCUACCCGCU
Molecule: transfer RNA, 71 nt
Filed under: Diplazium subserratum
Lineage: Eukaryota; Viridiplantae; Streptophyta; Polypodiopsida; Polypodiales; Athyriaceae
Also listed under: 14 other names
Description: tRNA-Gly
Rfam family: tRNA
About the family: Transfer RNA (tRNA) molecules are approximately 80 nucleotides in length. Their secondary structure includes four short double-helical elements and three loops (D, anti-codon, and T loops).
Source: RNAcentral